RNAcentral lists this ribosomal RNA (327 nucleotides) under uncultured fungus. RNAcentral describes it as "SSU rRNA". It matches the Rfam family "Eukaryotic small subunit ribosomal RNA", at positions 39 to 370 of the family's 1831-position model. The record is from RNAcentral. Lineage: Eukaryota; Fungi.
AAAGAUCAAGCCAUGCAUGUCUAAGUAUAAGCAAUUAUACAGCGAAACUGCGAAUGGCUCAUUAAAUCAGUUAUCGUUUAUUUGAUAGUACCUUACUACUUGGAUAACCGUGGUAAUUCUAGAGCUAAUACAUGCUAAAAACCCCGACUCACGAAGGGGUGUAUUUAUUAGAUUAAAAACCAAUGCCCUUCGGGGCUCUUUGGUGAUUCAUAAUAACUUUUCGAAUCGCAUGGCCUUGCGCCGGCGAUGGUUCAUUCAAAUUUCUGCCCUAUCAACUUUCGAUGGCAGGGUCUUGGCCUGCCAUGGUUACAACGGGUAACGGGGAAU